RNAcentral lists this long non-coding RNA (162 nucleotides) under Amphimedon queenslandica. RNAcentral's name for it is "uncharacterized LOC109589847". The record is from RNAcentral. Lineage: Eukaryota; Metazoa; Porifera; Demospongiae; Haplosclerida; Niphatidae.
UCCUUGGUCCAUUAUGCCAGCUAGUCAACUUCAAAUCACAAGCUAAUAGCAGAAGAUUCUACAUGAUAACUUACAAUUAUAUUGACUAUGAUUUUUGGUAAUUUUUAUUGUGCUUUGUGAAUUGUUUUUAUAAAGUUUUAUUGUCAAACUCAAUCACUGGUA